UUGCUGAACCAAAACUAAAGGAAUCCAACUCUGGCAACUCUCCUGGAUCAUUGUCAUCAUUGUCAUCCAGUGCCCUACACUUGGACCCUGCAGAAUCAUCUCAACAUCUUCCAGACAUGUUGAACAUUGGUGAUGAAUCAUCGGAUCUUAAGUCGCCUGGUUUCCUACCUUAGGCUGUGUGGUAUAUGUUAGAGCUUUCUUUGGAUAUAUGGGUAAAAAGUUAGGCAUGACUUUCUUUUGGUCUACAAACUGAUAUAGAGAAGAAUUACAGAUACUUGGUUCGUGUUUUUUAUAGGGUGAUUGUUGUUCAUUCCGUUGUUCACCCUUUUCUCUCGGUAUUACAUGUUUCUGCUAUUUCAGCAAAUUAUCUCCUUUCCUCUCAGGGGAGAGGAAAGUGAUCCUUUUGUACAUUUUGUUUCUACAGUUACAAAAUGGUUAUUAUUUCUAUGUCUCAGUUUGGUUUCA
Papaver somniferum (opium poppy) is the source of this 465-nucleotide long non-coding RNA. RefSeq lists it as uncharacterized. The record is from RefSeq and is a predicted model, not a curated record. The transcript has 2 exons. NCBI's taxonomy places the organism in Eukaryota, Viridiplantae, Streptophyta, Magnoliopsida, Ranunculales, Papaveraceae.